AUCACUCUCUGUUAAUAUUGCUAUUUCAGUUACAACGCCUGCUUCCACCCCCCCUACACAUUUGAUUUUAUUACCACAUUUCUAUUCGUAUGGACAGUGUCUUCGUCAGAAUAAAAAUCACAAGAUGGAAUUAGAUCUAGAUCUAUAUUUUUUUUUAAUAGGCCUAUUUGAUUUCCUUUUUUUUAAUGGAAGGAUGUUUAAAAAGGAAAACUAAACCCAAAUUAAUGAAAAACAUAUUUAAGAAUAUAAUAGUAUAGAUCUAAUCUUUUUAAAGAUAUUCAAUCACAUGCAUGUUUUAUUUACUAGUAGUAGAGUAGUGUGUUUUAGCAAUGCUUAAUGGACACAAGCGAGUUGACGAGAUUCCUUCCAUAGUGUUGUUGACAUGGAAUAAAAACGUGCUUUUUAGAUUUAGACCGUAAAAAAAAAAAAAAAAAAAACUUAAGCCUAAAAUUAAUUUAGAAAUUUUAUAUUUUUAGAAUAAAUGCUAUAAAAGUUGCAAAUCCAGAGAACUUGAAAAUAAUUUGUUGAGUUUAAGACUACAUUUCUAUUUAUUUUAAUCAAGCCUAAGUUAUAACCGGAUGCUUCACUUUCCUUGUCCACAGAGAUCUGGCAGCUCGCAAUGUGUUUGUCACAGACAGGGGCGUGUGCAAGAUCACAGACUUCGGGCUGGCUCGAUGUCUGGGGGACACUGACCACUACGACAGGUCGUCCAAGGGUCCACUGCCGGUUAGAUGGUUGGCACCAGAAAGUUUGAUCGACAGAACACACAGCACCAAAUCUGAUGUCUGGGCCUACGGCAUUCUUCUUAGGGAGAUUGUUACGCUAGAUACGAGCUCAUGUGCAGCUGCUGGUCCUUCCUCCCAGAGAACCGUCCAACGUUUGAUGCCCUGUGUCGCAGGUUCGAGACUCUGCUGGAAAAGGAAAAAGAUUACAUCAAUCUGGAACUAUUCCAGAGCGAACAGUACGCUUGUCUGGAUGCGGACAUAAUGGAUGAGAAGUUAUAGGACAUAAAGCUGGUUCUAUGAGAAGAUAUGACAUAAAUGAGAAGAUAUAGGGCAUAAAACUGGUUGGAUUUGAAGAUAUAGGACAUAAAGCUGGUUGGAUUAGAAGAUAUAGGACAUAAAUGAGGAGAUAUAGGGCAUAAAACUGGUUGGAUUAGCCCCUUAAUGCCUGAAUUAUGUUCCAAGCGUGUAAAAAAUUAUUUGUACUGAUUUUCUCUCAUCAUACUGACACUGAAUUUGAGGUAUAUAUUUGUUUUUGAAUUUUGACUUUUUUUUAUGAUAAUUACGGUAUGUCGCGAAAACGCGACAUCAGGCACUUAUGGACCAAACAGUAAUUUAACUUUUUUUUAGUCCGGGUCAUUUUACUAUUUUUACUGUCACAUGUUUCUCUAAAUAUCCAUGCACAAACAAUAAAAUAUCACAAAGUAAACAUACGGACAUGCAAGGAGAUGUAGAAUCACUUUCAAAACUCAUGAAAACUAUAUUUUAUUAGCUCAGGCAUAGAGUUACAUAACUCUGCUGCACCUGCUCACUGACUAACUCUUAUGAAUAGGUAUUUUGAUGUCUUGCUGUCGUAAUUCUACUACACUACAGUAACACACUACAUAUGAAAGGACUUCCUUCAAUGUGUAGAGC
Long non-coding RNA from Physella acuta, 1637 nucleotides. RefSeq lists it as uncharacterized. The record is from RefSeq and is a predicted model, not a curated record. Lineage: Eukaryota; Metazoa; Mollusca; Gastropoda; Physidae.